GUACUCUCACACUCCCGAUUUGUUGGGAGCGGUGGACUUGGGUGCUGCUGCUUACCGUGGCUCACCUCAAAUGGAUUCGUGCAUCUCUUGGUUGGACACAGUACGGCGUGAUAAGUGUCUUCGCCGGCACCUCGCUUGAGAGGGUGGCCGAUCGGGAGCUCUGUGCUUCUAACCGUCCUCGGACAACAACUGACA
This 195-nucleotide unclassified non-coding RNA is filed under the name uncultured Sebacina. RNAcentral describes it as "sequence contains ITS2". Lineage: Eukaryota; Fungi; Basidiomycota; Agaricomycetes; Sebacinales; Sebacinaceae. The record is from RNAcentral.